AUGGCUUGGCUAAGGUGGGAGAAAAUGAAACUACCCAAAGCAAUGGGAGGCAUGGGUUUCAGGGAUAUGCGUGCUUUUAAUCAGGCAUUGCUAGCAAAACAGGCAUGGCGGUUGUUGGACAGCGCUGAUAGCCUAUGUGCUCGUUUACUGCGUGCAAAAUAUUUCCCUAAUGGGAAUUUGUUGGAUACAGUAUUUCCUAGCAGUUCUUCGGCGGUAUGGAAAGGUAUUGUUCAUGGACUUGAAUUGUUGAAGAAGGGCAUUAUCUGGCGGGUUUUCUCUGCAGGACUUGAUUGUUUCUGGAAAACCAUAAGUUGA
This 315-nucleotide ribosomal RNA is filed under the name Triticum aestivum (bread wheat). Its description in RNAcentral is "partial small subunit ribosomal RNA". The record is from RNAcentral. Lineage: Eukaryota; Viridiplantae; Streptophyta; Magnoliopsida; Poales; Poaceae.